GACUCUGAAACAGCUCAGUGGUUAAACCAUCCAUCUAGAACGUGGGAGGUCGUGGGUUCAAAUUCCACUUGAGUUC
This is a non-coding RNA of Paramuricea clavata, 76 nucleotides long. NCBI's taxonomy places the organism in Eukaryota, Metazoa, Cnidaria, Anthozoa, Malacalcyonacea, Plexauridae. The record is from the annotation of a GenBank genome assembly.